Saccostrea cuccullata (small rock oyster) is the source of this 385-nucleotide long non-coding RNA. RefSeq lists it as uncharacterized. The transcript has 4 exons. NCBI's taxonomy places the organism in Eukaryota, Metazoa, Mollusca, Bivalvia, Ostreida, Ostreidae. The record is from RefSeq and is a predicted model, not a curated record.
AGUUGUUUUAAAAUGUUUUCUUUUUUCUUCAACAGGUUUACAACUCACCCCCGCACCGGGUAUAACGUAUCUUCCGCCAGUGUUUCCUACCUACGCAGCAGGGCAAACCUACGCACCAGGAUUAGGAUCUGCAGGAACGUUAACAGGAUCAGGAUCUGGUAUGACGUUAUCUCCCUUCUUCGCAGGUAUGACUUAUCCUCCGCCACUGAUUCCUAGAACAGACGCAUUUGGUUAUCCCCUAGCCUUCCCUUCCACUCCUGUUUAUUACUCAACAAUUUACCAACCAUUCCAAACAACGACACCUGCUCUUCCUGCCCAUUUGACUACAGCCAAUCAUGUUAGAUCAACGUUCCCAGAAACCUGGCUAUGGACAAGUCAAUUCGUU